Molecule: ribosomal RNA, 253 nt
Filed under: uncultured bacterium
Lineage: Bacteria
Description: partial 16S ribosomal RNA
Rfam family: Bacterial small subunit ribosomal RNA
Source: RNAcentral
UACGGGGGGGGUAAGCGUUGUUCGGAAUUACUGGGCGUAAAGGGCUCGUAGGCGGCCAACUAAGUCAGACGUGAAAUCCCUCAGCUUAACUGGGGAACUGCGUCUGAUACUGGAUGGCUUGAGUGUGGGAGAGGGAUGCGGAAUUCCAGGUGUAGCGGUGAAAUGCGUAGAUAUCUGGAGGAACACCGGUGGCGAAGGCGGCAUCCUGGACCAUUACUGACACUGAAAAGCGAAAGCCAGGGGAGCAAACGGG